RNAcentral lists this ribosomal RNA (322 nucleotides) under uncultured Allapsidae. Its description in RNAcentral is "SSU rRNA". The stretch from base 62 to 322 matches the Rfam family "Eukaryotic small subunit ribosomal RNA", at positions 694 to 955 of the family's 1831-position model. The record is from RNAcentral. Lineage: Eukaryota; Cercozoa; Glissomonadida; Viridiraptoridae.
GAUUUCUGGCUUGAUACAUUUUGCCGGCCACGGUUUCGUGUGUUAGUGCUUGAUGUUCUGGCCAUCCUUCCAAUCGCUAUUCACCUUUCUUCAUUGAUUGGUGAGUGGUAUUGGAUCUUUUACUUUGAAAAAAUUAGAGUGUUUCAAGCAGGCUUUAUGCUAUGAAUACAUUAGCAUGGAAUAAUAAUUUAGGACUUCGGUUCUAUUUUGUUGGUUUCUAGGACUGAAGUAAUGAUUGAUAGGGAUAGUUGGGGGUGCUAGUAUUCAGCGGCCAGAGGUGAAAUUCUCGGAUUCGCUGAAGACUAACUUAUGCGAAAGCAUU